Molecule: ribosomal RNA, 453 nt
Filed under: uncultured bacterium
Lineage: Bacteria
Description: bacterial SSU rRNA
Rfam family: Bacterial small subunit ribosomal RNA
Source: RNAcentral
AUUGAACGCUGGCGGCAUGCCUUACACAUGCAAGUCGAACGGCAGCACGGGAGCAAUCCUGGUGGCGAGUGGCGAACGGGUGAGUAAUAUAUCGGAACGUGCCCAGUCGUGGGGAUAACGUAGCGAAAGCUACGCUAAUACCGCAUACGAUCUAUGGAUGAAAGCGGGGGAUCGCAAGACCUCGCGCGAUUGGAGCGGCCGAUAUCAGAUUAGGUAGUUGGUGAGGUAAAGGCUCACCAAGCCGACGAUCUGUAGCUGGUCUGAGAGGACGACCAGCCACACUGGGACUGAGACACGGCCCAGACUCCUACGGGAGGCAGCAGUGGGGGAAUUUUUGGACAAUGGGCGCAAGCCUGAUCCAGCAAUGCCGCGUGCAGGAUGAAGGCCUUGGGUUGUUAAACGUGUCGUUUUGUUACGGGAAACGGUAAACCGGGUAGGACGGUACGUCCUAAA